AUUGAACGCUGGCGGCAUGCUUUACACAUGCAAGUCGAACGGCAGCACGAAAGAGCUUGCUCUUUUGGUGGCGAGUGGCGAACGGGUGAGUAAUGCAUCGGAACGUACCGAGUAAUGGGGGAUAACUGUCCGAAAGGAUAGCUAAUACCGCAUACGCUUUGAGAAGGAAAGUGGGGGCUCUUCGGACCUCACGUUAUUCGAGCGGCCGAUGUCUGAUUAGCUAGUUGGUGGGGUAAAGGCCUACCAAGGCGACGAUCAGUAGCGGGUCUGAGAGGAUGAUCCGCCACACUGGGACUGAGACACGGCCCAGACUCCUACGGGAGGCAGCAGUGGGGAAUUUUGGACAAUGGGCGCAAGCCUGAUCCAGCCAUGCCGCGUGUCUGAAGAAGGCCUUCGGGUUGUAAAGGACUUUUGUUAGGGAAGAAAAGGAUAGUGUUAAUACCAUUAUCUGCUGACGGUACCUAAAGAAUAAGCACCGGAUAACUACGUG
Molecule: ribosomal RNA, 490 nt
Filed under: uncultured bacterium
Lineage: Bacteria
Description: partial 16S ribosomal RNA
Rfam family: Bacterial small subunit ribosomal RNA
Source: RNAcentral